UUCAACACACACUCUCUCAACACACACCCUCUCUCUCUCACACAUUCUCCUCUCCUCUGUUCUGUUUUCAAAUUUUGAACACUCUCUCUCUCUCUCUCUUCCUCCAUUGGAGCCCAUUCCCGUGCUUCCCUGUCGAAACCCAACUCUUGCCGUGCUUCCCUGUCUUCAUCUUCUCUCUUCCUCCCUCCCUCUCUGCCGUCGACAAGGGAGUCGUCACUGCCGGAACCGGACCGAAGUCUGUCCCCGGCCAAGCCAAUAUAUAUUAUUCUGAAGGGGAAGAAGACAGUUGCAGAUGUUAUGCCAAUUGCUACAGGUCAUGAGUGUGAAGAACUUUAGGCCGAACUCAAGGUUUUGGCAAUAUUAAGCUGGAACGACCUCUAACAUUAUGGAUAAUGUUCAGUUUCUUCAACAAAGAAAUGUCGGUGUAGUGAUUCGUGAUGAGCAUGAUUUCAAUGUCGUUCGUAUUUUUAAUGCAAUGCAAAAGGAAAAUGCAAAGGCAAUGUCGAAAGGAAAAGAAAAGGUGUCUUAUGCUUCCAAGGGAAGGGAAAGGAAAAUGCAUGUCCAACGGUAUAGUUUUUAAUGGUUUUUGUAAAGUGUUUUUUUUUUUUUUUAAUUGUUAGUUUUUGUAUGUUUGUAUUUUAAGCCAUAAUUGUAGAGUGUUUUUGAAAAUGCAUGCCCAAUUAUUUAUUUUAAACCAUAAUUGUA
This is a non-coding RNA of Camellia sinensis, 705 nucleotides long. The record is from RefSeq and is a predicted model, not a curated record. NCBI's taxonomy places the organism in Eukaryota, Viridiplantae, Streptophyta, Magnoliopsida, Ericales, Theaceae.